CCCAGGCUAAUACCGCAUACGUCCUACGGGAGAAAGGGGGCUUCGGCUCCCGCUAUCGGAUGAGCCUAUGCCGGAUUAGCUGGUUGGUGAGGUAAUGGCUCACCAAGGCGACGAUCCGUAGCUGGUCUGAGAGGAUGAUCAGCCACAUCGGGACUGAGACACGGCCCGAACUCCUACGGGAGGCAGCAGUGGGGAAUAUUGGACAAUGGGCGAAAGCCUGAUCCAGCCAUGCCGCGUGUGUGAAGAAGGCCCUCGGGUUGUAAAGCACUUUCAGUGAGGAAGAACGCCUGUCGGUUAAUACCCGGCAGGAAAGACAUCACUCACAGAAGAAGCACCGGCUAACUCCGUGCCAGCAGCCGCGGUAAUACGGAGGGUGCAAGCGUUAAUCGGAAUUACUGGGCGUAAAGCGCGCGUAGGUGGCUUGAUAAGCCGGUUGUGAAAGCCCCGGGCUCAACCUGGGAACGGCAUCCGGAACUGUCAAGCUAGAGUGCAGGAGAGGAAGGUAGAAUUCCCGGUGUAGCGGUGAAAUGCGUAGAGAUCGGGAGGAAUACCAGUGGCGAAGGCGGCCUUCUGGACUGACACUGACACUGAGGUGCGAAAGCGUGGGUAGCAAACAG
RNAcentral lists this ribosomal RNA (617 nucleotides) under Halomonas sp. TA33. RNAcentral describes it as "bacterial SSU rRNA". It matches the Rfam family "Bacterial small subunit ribosomal RNA", at positions 157 to 775 of the family's 1533-position model. The record is from RNAcentral. Lineage: Bacteria; Pseudomonadati; Pseudomonadota; Gammaproteobacteria; Oceanospirillales; Halomonadaceae.